RNAcentral lists this ribosomal RNA (517 nucleotides) under bacterium enrichment culture clone ALO1_GLFRUDD03F1XZ7. Its description in RNAcentral is "bacterial SSU rRNA". It matches the Rfam family "Bacterial small subunit ribosomal RNA", at positions 9 to 520 of the family's 1533-position model. The record is from RNAcentral. RNAcentral also lists the same sequence under 1 other name.
GAGUUUGAUCUUGGCUCAGAUUGAACGCUGGCGGCAGGCCUAACACAUGCAAGUCGAGCGGAUGACGGGAGCUUGCUCCUUGAUUCAGCGGCGGACGGGUGAGUAAUGCCUGGGAAUCUGCCUGGUAGUGGGGGACAACGUUUCGAAAGGAACGCUAAUACCGCAUACGUCCUACGGGAGAAAGCAGGGGACCUUCGGGCCUUGCGCUAUCAGAUGAGCCUAGGUCGGAUUAGCUAGUUGGUGGGGUAAUGGCUCACCAAGGCGACGAUCCGUAACUGGUCUGAGAGGAUGAUCAGUCACACUGGAACUGAGACACGGUCCAGACUCCUACGGGAGGCAGCAGUGGGGAAUAUUGGACAAUGGGCGAAAGCCUGAUCCAGCCAUGCCGCGUGUGUGAAGAAGGUCUUCGGAUUGUAAAGCACUUUAAGUUGGGAGGAAGGGCAGUAAGUUAAUACCUUGCUGUUUUGACGUUACCGACAGAAUAAGCACCGGCUAACUCUGUGCCAGCCGCCGACCG